CUUGGUCAUUUAGAGGAAGUAAAAGUCGUAACAAGGUCUCCGUUGGUGAACCAGCGGAGGGAUCAUUAAAGAGUUGCAAAACUCCCUAAACCAUUGUGAACAUACCUUCAACGUUGCUUCGGCGGGUUGGCUCCGGGUCUCCCGGGGCCCCCGGCCCUACUCGGGCGCCCGCCGGAGGUAUCUAACUCUUGACAAUUGUAUGGCCUCUCUGAGUCUUUGUAUUUAAUAAGUCAAAACUUUCAACAACGGAUCUCUUGGUUCUGGCAUCGAUGAAGAGCGCAGCGAAAUGCGGUAAGUAAUGUGAAUUGCAGAAUUCAGUGAAUCAUCGAAUCUUUGAACGCACAUUGCGCCCGCCAGUAUUCUGGCGGGCAUGCCUGUUCGAGCGUCAUUUCAACCAUCAAGCCCCCGGCUUGUGUUGGGGACCUGCGGCUGCCGCAGGCCCUGAAAUGCAGUGGCGGGCUCGCUGUCACUCCGAGCGUAGUAGUUACAUCUCGCUCUGGGCGUGCUGCGGGUUCCGGCCGUUAAAAGCCUUAUUUACCCAAGGUUGACCUCGGAUCAGGUAGGAAGACCCGCUGAACUUAAGCAUAUCAAUAAGCGGAGGA
RNAcentral lists this unclassified non-coding RNA (602 nucleotides) under uncultured fungus. RNAcentral's name for it is "sequence contains ITS1, 5.8S rRNA gene and ITS2". The stretch from base 235 to 388 matches the Rfam family "5.8S ribosomal RNA". Lineage: Eukaryota; Fungi. The record is from RNAcentral.